Molecule: long non-coding RNA, 676 nt
Organism: Pseudomyrmex gracilis
Lineage: Eukaryota; Metazoa; Arthropoda; Insecta; Hymenoptera; Formicidae
Exons: 3
Source: RefSeq, a predicted model, not a curated record
GUAUGUCAAAGCUCUCAAAAUAAUCGAAACGUUUCAAUCACAUUUGAAUUAAUUGAAGAGGCGGCUGCAAGAAGGCGUGCAAAAUAUAGAACGCUUAUUGACAUGCAUACAAGUGAAGCAAAAUCGGCGAGGACAUUCACAAAAGCCUAAAUGGUUACCCUUAUCGACACAAUCAGAAAUGGAAGAUUUUCAAAAAGUCGAUGAACAAACAUAUGAGGAAGUUGUAGAGUAUUUAAAAUACGUUGGAAGGGGUUUACCCUAAAAGAAGCGAUAAAUUUCUCGUUUAAAGAGGCAAUAAAAGAUAGUGUCACGGCCGCAUUGGUACAUGGUUCGGUCGUGAAAAUGAAUCCAAACCUCUGUGUAACACAAAAAGUGUUACGGCUAUUUAUGNUGCCGUUUGUUUCAACAGAAAUUUUGAGAAGCCAAGCCGAGCAGAAUUUCAAGCUUGUAUACGAGAGACUCUGCGAUCAUCAAAGCAGCGAUACCGAACGANCACUCGUGUAGGAAGACGACAACAAAAUAGAAACCCACUUCGACAGAUGUGGAAUGACAAUGAAAACGACAUAGAAGAAAACAAAGAAGUACAGAACAUAGAACCGGAUACAGAAAAUACGGAUGAAAAUUAACACUAAUUCUUUAUAUAUUGUAUAUGUUGUUAUUAUAUUGUUUUAUAGUU